UGGGGAAUAUUGGACAAUGGGCGAAAGCCUGAUCCAGCCAUGCCGCGUGUGUGAAGAAGGUCUUCGGAUUGUAAAGCACUUUAAGUUGGGAGGAAGGGCAGUUACCUAAUACGUGAUUGUUUUGACGUUACCGACAGAAUAAGCACCGGCUAACUCUGUGCCAGCAGCCGCGGUAAUACAGAGGGUGCAAGCGUUAAUCGGAAUUACUGGGCGUAAAGCGCGCGUAGGUGGUUAGUUAAGUUGGAUGUGAAAUCCCCGGGCUCAACCUGGGAACUGCAUUCAAAACUGACUGACUAGAGUAUGAUAGAGGGUGGUGGAAUUUCCUGUGUAGCGGUGAAAUGCGUAGAUAUAGGAAGGAACACCAGUGGCGAAGGCGACCACCUGGACUGAUACUGACACUGAGGUGCGAAAGCGUGGGGAGCAAACAGGAUUAGAUACCCAAGUAGUCCCUGAGCGGGCUGGCAAGGCGCAU
This 472-nucleotide ribosomal RNA is filed under the name uncultured bacterium. RNAcentral's name for it is "bacterial SSU rRNA". It matches the Rfam family "Bacterial small subunit ribosomal RNA", at positions 355 to 825 of the family's 1533-position model. The record is from RNAcentral.